RNAcentral lists this ribosomal RNA (1606 nucleotides) under Salmonella enterica. RNAcentral's name for it is "partial 23S ribosomal RNA". It matches the Rfam family "Bacterial large subunit ribosomal RNA", at positions 1214 to 2802 of the family's 2925-position model. The record is from RNAcentral. Lineage: Bacteria; Pseudomonadati; Pseudomonadota; Gammaproteobacteria; Enterobacterales; Enterobacteriaceae.
UUAUGCGUUGUUGGGUAGGGGAGCGUUCUGUAAGCCUGCGAAGGUGGCCUGUGAGGGUUGCUGGAGGUAUCAGAAGUGCGAAUGCUGACAUAAGUAACGAUAAAGCGGGUGAAAAGCCCGCUCGCCGGAAGACCAAGGGUUCCUGUCCAACGUUAAUCGGGGCAGGGUGAGUCGACCCCUAAGGCGAGGCCGAAAGGCGUAGUCGAUGGGAAACAGGUUAAUAUUCCUGUACUUGGUGUUACUGCGAAGGGGGGACGGAGAAGGCUAUGUUGGCCGGGCGACGGUUGUCCCGGUUUAAGCGUGUAGGUGUGUGUUCCAGGUAAAUCCGGUUCACUUUAACACUGAGGCGUGACGACGAGGCACUACGGUGCUGAAGCAACAAAUGCCCUGCUUCCAGGAAAAGCCUCUAAGCAUCAGGUAACAUCAAAUCGUACCCCAAACCGACACAGGUGGUCAGGUAGAGAAUACCAAGGCGCUUGAGAGAACUCGGGUGAAGGAACUAGGCAAAAUGGUGCCGUAACUUCGGGAGAAGGCACGCUGACACGUAGGUGAAGUGAUUUACUCACGGAGCUGAAGUCAGUCGAAGAUACCAGCUGGCUGCAACUGUUUAUUAAAAACACAGCACUGUGCAAACACGAAAGUGGACGUAUACGGUGUGACGCCUGCCCGGUGCCGGAAGGUUAAUUGAUGGGGUCAGCGCAAGCGAAGCUCCUGAUCGAAGCCCCGGUAAACGGCGGCCGUAACUAUAACGGUCCUAAGGUAGCGAAAUUCCUUGUCGGGUAAGUUCCGACCUGCACGAAUGGCGUAAUGAUGGCCAGGCUGUCUCCACCCGAGACUCAGUGAAAUUGAACUCGCUGUGAAGAUGCAGUGUACCCGCGGCAAGACGGAAAGACCCCGUGAACCUUUACUAUAGCUUGACACUGAACAUUGAGCCUUGAUGUGUAGGAUAGGUGGGAGGCUUUGAAGUGUGGACGCCAGUCUGCAUGGAGCCGACCUUGAAAUACCACCCUUUAAUGUUUGAUGUUCUAACGUGGACCCGUUACCCGGGUUGCGGACAGUGUCUGGUGGGUAGUUUGACUGGGGCGGUCUCCUCCUAAAGAGUAACGGAGGAGCACGAAGGUUGGCUAAUCCUGGUCGGACAUCAGGAGGUUAGUGCAAUGGCAUAAGCCAGCUUGACUGCGAGCGUGACGGCGCGAGCAGGUGCGAAAGCAGGUCAUAGUGAUCCGGUGGUUCUGAAUGGAAGGGCCAUCGCUCAACGGAUAAAAGGUACUCCGGGGAUAACAGGCUGAUACCGCCCAAGAGUUCAUAUCGACGGCGGUGUUUGGCACCUCGAUGUCGGCUCAUCACAUCCUGGGGCUGAAGUAGGUCCCAAGGGUAUGGCUGUUCGCCAUUUAAAGUGGUACGCGAGCUGGGUUUAGAACGUCGUGAGACAGUUCGGUCCCUAUCUGCCGUGGGCGCUGGAGAACUGAGGGGGGCUGCUCCUAGUACGAGAGGACCGGAGUGGACGCAUCACUGGUGUUCGGGUUGUCAUGCCAAUGGCACUGCCCGGUAGCUAAAUGCGGAAGAGAUAAGUGCUGAAAGCAUCUAAGCACGAAACUUGCCCCGA